CGCCUUAUACUCCUACGGGAGGCAGCAGUGGGGAAUUUUGGACAAUGGGCGCAAGCCUGAUCCAGCAAUGCCGCGUGAGUGAAGAAGGCCUUCGGGUUGUAAAGCUCUUUUGUCAGGGAAGAAACGGGUCUUUCUAAUACAGAGAUCUAAUGACGGUACCUGAAGAAUAAGCACCGGCUAACUACGUGCCAGCAGCCGCGGUAAUACGUAGGGUGCAAGCGUUAAUCGGAAUUACUGGGCGUAAAGCGUGCGCAGGCGGUUGUGUAAGUCAGAUGUGAAAUCCCCGGGCUCAACCUGGGAAUUGCAUUUGAGACUGCACGGCUAGAGUGUGUCAGAGGGGGGUAGAAUUCCACGUGUAGCAGUGAAAUGCGUAGAUAUGUGGAGGAAUACCGAUGGCGAAGGCAGCCCCCUGGGAUAACACUGACGCUCAUGCACGAAAGCGUGGGGAGCAAACAGGAUUAGAUACCCCAGUAGUCCACGUACCA
RNAcentral lists this ribosomal RNA (485 nucleotides) under uncultured bacterium. RNAcentral describes it as "bacterial SSU rRNA". It matches the Rfam family "Bacterial small subunit ribosomal RNA", at positions 327 to 804 of the family's 1533-position model. The record is from RNAcentral.